CACACUCACUCAAAUGAACAAAAAUGAGUCGAUGAACAGAUAUGGGCCUCUCGUCGGCGCGAUUGACGAAGGCACGAGCAGCGCUAGAUUCCUGGUUUUUGCAGCAAAUACAGCAGAAGUCUUAACAUACCAUCAAGUUUCAAUAUCACAAACAUGUCCAAAAGAGGGAUGGGUUGAACAAGAUGCUUUAGAAAUAUUAAGAGCAGUCAGAGAAUGUCUUAAGCAGACUGUAUUUAAUUUAAGACAACUGACGAUAGAUCCAGCUGAUAUAGUUGCGAUUGGUAUAACAAAUCAGAGAGAAACUACAGUUGUAUGGGAUUGUGUCACAGGAGAACCACUUUAUAAUGCCAUAGUUUGGAUGGAUAUGAGAACCACAUCAAUUGUGGAUGACAUAUUGAAAGGUAUACGCAAUAAGAAUAAGAAUUACUUGAAGCCUCUUUGCGGUUUGCCAAUUAGCCCAUACUUUAGCGCAUUAAAGUUAAAAUGGUUAUUAGAAAAUGUACCUAAGGUUCAGGAAGCGUUAACUGCAAAUCGUCUCAUGUUUGGCACUAUUGAUUCCUGGCUAAUUUGGAAUCUGACUGGCGGUGCCAAUGGUGGUGUUCAUAGUACAGAUGUUACAAACGCUUCGAGAACAAUGUUAAUGAAUAUUGUGACUUUGAAAUGGGAUCCUACUUUAUUAUCAUUUUUCAAUAUACCUUCUAAAAUUUUACCUCAGAUACGAAGCUCUUCCGAGAUUUAUGGUUAUAUACAAGAUGAUCUGCUACAAGGAGUUCCUAUAUCAGGGGUUUUAGGUGAUCAGCAGUCAGCUUUAGUAGGUCAGAUGUGUUUGCAUCAAGGACAGGCAAAGAGUACUUAUGGAACUGGUUGUUUUCUUCUUUAUAACACUGGCACAGCUAUUGUGGAUUCAUCUCAUGGUUUAUUAACGACCGUAGCUUAUCAGUUGGGAGCAGAUGCUUCUCCGGUGUACGCUCUUGAAGGAUCUAUAGCUAUUGCGGGUGCCGUUGUACAGUGGUUGAAGGAUAAUCUUGGUAUACUAAAUGAUUUGAAAGAUUGUGAAGCUAUUAUCGAACAACUGCCCGCGGAUAAUCGCGUUAUUUUUGUACCGGCGUUUGCUGGACUUUACGCUCCAUAUUGGAGAAAAGACGCUCGAAGUGUCAUUUGUGGCAUUAGCGAAGAUACUAAUAGCGCACAUAUUGUCAAAGCAGCUUUGCAAUCAGUAUGUUUCCAAAUAAGAGAUAUUUUAGAAGCUAUGAAGGAAGAUACUGGUUUGGUAUUGUCAAAACUAUUGGUUGAUGGCGCGAUGACUACCAAUGGUUUGCUGAUGCAAAUGCAAGCUGACAUCUGUGGAAUUCCAGUGGUUAGACCACUGAUGUGCGAAACUACUGCACUUGGAGUUGCGAUUGCUGCGGGGAGCGCAGAAGGAAUACGUAAAUGGGGCGUGAAAAGUGAUACUGCCGUUCCCAGCGAUGUUUACUUGCCAUCAAUAACUGAGAAUGAACGUGAUAUUUUAUACUCCCAAUGGAAAAUGGGUAUUGACAGAAGCUUGGGUUGGGAGCCGCUUAUAAAAACAACAGAUGAUACAAAAGAUAUACAUAAAGCGACCGCGCCCGGUAUAUUUAUAAUUGGCACCAUAAUACUGCUUAUGUUUGCUAAAUACAGAUCUACUUUGUCAUAAAGUUUUACCACGUAUCGCAUUUAGGUAGCAAAGAUUGUGGAAGGAAUUGUUACCAUAUCUUCAUCAAACACUUUGGAUUCCUUAGUUGCUGGCAUUGCAAAUAUUCCCUAUGAACAUAGAAGAUAUGACCAAAGACAAUUUGUGAGAGGAUAUAUAAUCUUAUCUGUAUCGAUUAACUCUUACGACGAAUCUGCCACUGAUCGACGUUUGAGCGACGACUGAUGUCUCGAGCCAGAAGUUGCCGGAACCACUUGCGACUACGCUGCUCGUCGAUGUAAGUGUCGUGGCGUAUGACGUCGAGCAAACUACCGUUCUGCGCGUAUUCCAUAAUAAUGUACACUCUACGAAAAGCAGAUAUCAUCUGAAAAUGAAUCGACGUGGCUGGAGCCAACAAACUAACCGAUGCGUGGUUUCUAUGGCCUGCAGGAAGCGAAUCAGAUGUGGAUGCUUUAAU
Non-coding RNA from Linepithema humile (Argentine ant), 2129 nucleotides. The record is from RefSeq and is a predicted model, not a curated record. Lineage: Eukaryota; Metazoa; Arthropoda; Insecta; Hymenoptera; Formicidae.